UACGGAGGGUGCGAGCGUUAAUCGGAAUUACUGGGCGUAAAGCGUGCGUAGGCGGUGAUCUAAGUGGGAUGUGAAAGCCCCGGGCUCAACCUGGGAACUGCACCCCAAACUGGGUCACUAGAGUACAGCAGAGGAGUGUGGAAUUUCCUGUGUAGCGGUGAAAUGCGUAGAUAUAGGAAGGAACACCAGUGGCGAAGGCGACACUCUGGGCUGAUACUGACGCUGAGGUACGAAAGCGUGGGGAGCAAACAGG
Molecule: ribosomal RNA, 253 nt
Filed under: uncultured bacterium
Lineage: Bacteria
Description: partial 16S ribosomal RNA
Rfam family: Bacterial small subunit ribosomal RNA
Source: RNAcentral